Molecule: non-coding RNA, 45 nt
Organism: Schistosoma haematobium
Lineage: Eukaryota; Metazoa; Platyhelminthes; Trematoda; Strigeidida; Schistosomatidae
Source: Rfam
AUUUGUCUGACGAGUCUCAAAUGGGACGAAACUCAUGUCUUGGAU